RNAcentral lists this transfer RNA (73 nucleotides) under Spirochaetales bacterium. RNAcentral's name for it is "tRNA-Phe". It matches the Rfam family "tRNA". Rfam says of the family: Transfer RNA (tRNA) molecules are approximately 80 nucleotides in length. The record is from RNAcentral. Lineage: Bacteria; Pseudomonadati; Spirochaetota; Spirochaetia; Spirochaetales.
GCAACCUUAGCUCAGUUGGUAGAGCGAAUGACUGAAAAUCAUUAGGUCCCCAGUUCAAUUCUGGGAGGCGGCA